GACGAACGCUGGCGGCGUGCUUAACACAUGCAAGUCGAACGAAGUGGCGAACGGGGGAGUAAUACGUGGGUAAACUGCCCUCCUUUUUGGGAUAAGCCUUGGAAACGGGGUCUAAUACCGACUAAAGGAGGAUGGGCUAGCGGCCUAUCAGCUUGUUGGUGGGGUGAUGGCCUACCAAGGCGUUGACGGGUAGCCGGCCUGAGAGGGUGACCGGCCACAUUGGGACUGAGAUACGGUCCAGACUCCUACGGGAGGCAGCAGUGGGGGAUAUUGCACAAUGGGCGAAAGCCUGAUGCAGCGACGCCGCGUGUAUGAAGAAGGCCUUCGGGUUGUAAAGUACUUUCAGCGGGGAGGCGUUACCCGCAGAAGAAGCACCGGCUAACUCCGUGCCAGCAGCCGCGGUAAUAC
Molecule: ribosomal RNA, 408 nt
Filed under: uncultured bacterium
Lineage: Bacteria
Description: partial 16S ribosomal RNA
Rfam family: Bacterial small subunit ribosomal RNA
Source: RNAcentral